This 744-nucleotide ribosomal RNA is filed under the name uncultured cyanobacterium. Its description in RNAcentral is "bacterial SSU rRNA". It matches the Rfam family "Bacterial small subunit ribosomal RNA", at positions 82 to 859 of the family's 1533-position model. Lineage: Bacteria; Bacillati; Cyanobacteriota. The record is from RNAcentral.
UCUUCGGAUUCUAGUGGCGGACGGGUGAGUAACGCGUAAGAAUCUAACUUCAGGACGGGGACAACAGUUGGAAACGACUGCUAAUACCCGAUGUGCCGCAAGGUGAAACCUAAUUGGCCUGAAGAAGAGCUUGCGUCUGAUUAGCUAGUUGGUGGGGUAAGAGCCUACCGAGGCGACGAUCAGUAGCUGGUCUGAGAGGAUGAGCAGCCACACUGGGACUGAGACACGGCCCAGACUCCUACGGGAGGCAGCAGUGGGGAAUUUUCCGCAAUGGGCGAAAGCCUGACGGAGCAACGCCGCGUGAGGGAGGAAGGUCUUUGGAUUGUAAACCUCUUUUCUCAAGGAAGAAGUUCUGACGGUACUUGAGGAAUCAGCCUCGGCUAACUCCGUGCCAGCAGCCGCGGUAAUACGGGGGAGGCAAGCGUUAUCCGGAAUUAUUGGGCGUAAAGCGUCCGCAGGUGGUCAGCCAAGUCUGCCGUCAAAUCAGGUUGCUUAACGACCUAAAGGCGGUGGAAACUGGCAGACUAGAGAGCAGUAGGGGUAGCAGGAAUUCCCAGUGUAGCGGUGAAAUGCGUAGAGAUUGGGAAGAACAUCGGUGGCGAAAGCGUGCUACUGGGCUGUAUCUGACACUCAGGGACGAAAGCUAGGGGAGCGAAAGGGAUUAGAUACCCCUGUAGUCCUAGCCGUAAACGAUGGAUACUAGGCGUGGCUUGUAUCGACCCGAGCCGUGCCGAAGCUAACGCG